RNAcentral lists this ribosomal RNA (274 nucleotides) under uncultured bacterium. RNAcentral describes it as "partial 16S ribosomal RNA". It matches the Rfam family "Bacterial small subunit ribosomal RNA", at positions 523 to 796 of the family's 1533-position model. The record is from RNAcentral.
AUACGGAGAGGGCAAGCGUUGUUCGGAAUCACUGGGCAUAAAGCGCACGUAGGCGGGUCGGUAAGUCGGUGGUGAAAGCCCGGAGCUCAACUCCGGAACUGCUUCCGAAACUGCCAGCCUGGAGGACGAGAGGGGAGAGUGGAACUUCUGGUGGAGCGGUGAAAUGCGUAGAGAUCAGAAGGAACACCGGUGGCGAAAGCGACUCUCUGGCUCGUUUCUGACGCUGAGGUGCGAAAGCUAGGGUAGCGAACGGGAUUAGAAACCCUAGUAGUCC